AUUGAACGCUGGCGGCAGGCCUAACACAUGCAAGUCGAAUGGUAACAGGAAACAGCUUGCUGUUUCGCUGACGAGUGGCGGACGGGUGAGUAAUGUCUGGGAAACUGCCUGAUGGAGGGGGAUAACUACUGGAAACGGUAGCUAAUACCGCAUAACGUCGCAAGACCAAAGAGGGGGACCUUCGGGCCUCUUGCCAUCAGAUGUGCCCAGAUGGGAUUAGCUAGUAGGUGGGGUAACGGCUCACCUAGGCGACGAUCCCUAGCUGGUCUGAGAAGAUGACCAGCCACACUGGAACUGAGACACGGUCCAGACUCCUACGGGAGGCAGCAGUGGGGAAUAUUGCACAAUGGGCGCAAGCCUGAUGCAGCCAUGCCGCGUGUAUGAAGAAGGCCUUCGGGUUGUAAAGUACUUUCAGCGGGGAGGAAGGGAGUAAAGUUAAUACCUUUGCUCAUUGACGUUACCCGCAGAAGAAGCACCGGCUAACUCCGUG
RNAcentral lists this ribosomal RNA (490 nucleotides) under uncultured bacterium. RNAcentral describes it as "partial 16S ribosomal RNA". It matches the Rfam family "Bacterial small subunit ribosomal RNA", at positions 30 to 507 of the family's 1533-position model. The record is from RNAcentral.